GAGGGUAUACCUCAGUUGUAGAGCACAUGCUUAGCAUGCACGAGGUCAUGGGUUCAAUACCCAGUACCUCCG
Molecule: transfer RNA, 72 nt
Filed under: Camelus bactrianus (Bactrian camel)
Lineage: Eukaryota; Metazoa; Chordata; Mammalia; Artiodactyla; Camelidae
Also listed under: 2 other names
Rfam family: tRNA
About the family: Transfer RNA (tRNA) molecules are approximately 80 nucleotides in length. Their secondary structure includes four short double-helical elements and three loops (D, anti-codon, and T loops).
Source: Rfam by way of RNAcentral